GGGAAAUUAGCUCAAAUGGUAGAGUGCUCACUUAGCAUGUGAGAGCUAGCGGGCUAGAUUCCAGCAUCCUCCA
Molecule: transfer RNA, 73 nt
Filed under: Perca flavescens (yellow perch)
Lineage: Eukaryota; Metazoa; Chordata; Actinopteri; Perciformes; Percidae
Rfam family: tRNA
About the family: Transfer RNA (tRNA) molecules are approximately 80 nucleotides in length. Their secondary structure includes four short double-helical elements and three loops (D, anti-codon, and T loops). Further hydrogen bonds mediate the characteristic L-shaped molecular structure. tRNAs have two regions of fundamental functional importance: the anti-codon, which is responsible for specific mRNA codon recognition, and the 3' end, to which the tRNAs corresponding amino acid is attached (by aminoacyl-tRNA synthetases). tRNAs cope with the degeneracy of the genetic code in two manners: having more than one tRNA (with a specific anti-codon) for a particular amino acid; and 'wobble' base-pairing, i.e. permitting non-standard base-pairing at the 3rd anti-codon position.
Source: Rfam by way of RNAcentral